GUAAUGUCCAACAUAAGAUGAUCAUUUCUUGCUUUACAAAACUGAAGAGCUUGGUUAUUAUAACAUUUAUUUUUAAAGAAGAUAAUUACCCCCAGGCUGUAACUGCAAAUCAGGAACCAUCAGCCACUCCAGUGCAGAUGAAUAUGUAAAAGAAUAGCAACAGGACUAAUUUACUACCCAGUCUCUGAAUGUGGAUAGCUGAGAGGCCAGCAUGUGGUCAAGAGCAUCCUGGACAGCAUUGUGCAAGAUACUUGAGAGAAAGUAUAGAAAAAUAUAAACUAAAGGAAGAUUAAGGAAGCCAGAAAUGCUAAAAGGGAACAGAUCAAGUGUCUGCCUUUGGCCCAAACUUGAAAACUCUGAGGGAGCAGAAAGGUGAGGAAUGAAAAUGAAUAUAUAACAAAGGAUCUAUGUAUAUAUGCAUGUAGAUAUACAUGCAUAUUUGUCUAUA
This is a long non-coding RNA of Harpia harpyja (harpy eagle), 448 nucleotides long. RefSeq lists it as uncharacterized. The transcript has 4 exons. The record is from RefSeq and is a predicted model, not a curated record. NCBI's taxonomy places the organism in Eukaryota, Metazoa, Chordata, Aves, Accipitriformes, Accipitridae.